This 401-nucleotide ribosomal RNA is filed under the name uncultured Sulfuricurvum sp. RNAcentral's name for it is "bacterial SSU rRNA". It matches the Rfam family "Bacterial small subunit ribosomal RNA", at positions 356 to 774 of the family's 1533-position model. The record is from RNAcentral. Lineage: Bacteria; Pseudomonadati; Campylobacterota; Epsilonproteobacteria; Campylobacterales; Sulfurimonadaceae.
GAGGAAUAUUGCACAAUGGAGGAAACUCUGAUGUAGCAACGCCGCGUGGAGGAUGACGCAUUUCGGUGUGUAAACUCCUUUUAAGAGGGAAGAUAAUGACGGUACCUCUUGAAUAAGCACCGGCUAACUCCGUGCCAGCAGCCGCGGUAAUACGGAGGGUGCAAGCGUUACUCGGAAUCACUGGGCGUAAAGGGUGCGUAGGCUGACUUUUAAGUCAGGCGUGAAAUCCAAUGGCUUAACCAUUGAACUGCGCUUGAAACUGGGAGUCUAGAGUUCAGAAGGGGCAGAUGGAAUUAGUGGUGUAGGGGUAAAAUCCGUAGAUAUCACUAGGAAUAUCAAAAGCGAAGGCGAUCUGCUGGGAUGAUACUGACGCUGAGGCACGAAAGCGUGGGGAGCAAACA